This 85-nucleotide transfer RNA is filed under the name Paracoccaceae bacterium. Its description in RNAcentral is "Rhodobacteraceae bacterium (seawater metagenome) tRNA-Leu". It matches the Rfam family "tRNA". Rfam says of the family: Transfer RNA (tRNA) molecules are approximately 80 nucleotides in length. Their secondary structure includes four short double-helical elements and three loops (D, anti-codon, and T loops). Further hydrogen bonds mediate the characteristic L-shaped molecular structure. tRNAs have two regions of fundamental functional importance: the anti-codon, which is responsible for specific mRNA codon recognition, and the 3' end, to which the tRNAs corresponding amino acid is attached (by aminoacyl-tRNA synthetases). tRNAs cope with the degeneracy of the genetic code in two manners: having more than one tRNA (with a specific anti-codon) for a particular amino acid; and 'wobble' base-pairing, i.e. permitting non-standard base-pairing at the 3rd anti-codon position. RNAcentral also lists the same sequence under 2 other names. The record is from RNAcentral. Lineage: Bacteria; Pseudomonadati; Pseudomonadota; Alphaproteobacteria; Rhodobacterales; Paracoccaceae.
GCCCCUCUGGCGGAACUGGUAGACGCGCGGGAUUCAAAAUCCCGUUUCUUCGGAAGUGCCGGUUCGAUUCCGGCGGGGGGCACCA